UUCCAGUUGACGAGUCCCAAAUGGGACGAAACGCGAGUCCUGGAU
This 45-nucleotide non-coding RNA is filed under the name Schistosoma margrebowiei. Lineage: Eukaryota; Metazoa; Platyhelminthes; Trematoda; Strigeidida; Schistosomatidae. The record is from RNAcentral.